GUGAAAGAGGUUUGGAUUGAAA
Molecule: microRNA, 22 nt
Filed under: Gyrodactylus salaris (gyrodactylosis fluke)
Lineage: Eukaryota; Metazoa; Platyhelminthes; Monogenea; Gyrodactylidea; Gyrodactylidae
Description: gsa-miR-9402-5p
Source: miRBase by way of RNAcentral